This 386-nucleotide ribosomal RNA is filed under the name uncultured bacterium. Its description in RNAcentral is "bacterial SSU rRNA". It matches the Rfam family "Bacterial small subunit ribosomal RNA", at positions 335 to 713 of the family's 1533-position model. The record is from RNAcentral.
ACUCCUACGGGAGGCAGCAGUGGGGAAUAUUGCACAAUGGGGGAAACCCUGAUGCAGCCAUGCCGCGUGUGUGAAGAAGGCCUUGGGUUGUAAAGCACUUUCAGUAGGGAGGAAGGUAGUGUAGUUAACACCUGCAUUAUUUGUACGUUACCUACAGAAGAAGCACCGGCUAACUCCGUGCCAGCAGCCGCGGUAAGUACGGAGGGUGCGAGCGUUAAUCGGAAUUACUGGGCGUAAAGCGCAUGCAGGCGGCCUGUUAAGUCAGAUGUGAAAGCCCGGGGCGUUAACCUCGGAAUUGCAUUUGAAACUGGCAGGCUAGAGUCUUGUAGAGGGGUUAGAAUUUCAGGUGUAGCGGUGAAAUGCGUAGAGAUUUGAAGGAUACCAGU